Molecule: small nuclear RNA, 103 nt
Organism: Callithrix jacchus (white-tufted-ear marmoset)
Lineage: Eukaryota; Metazoa; Chordata; Mammalia; Primates; Cebidae
Source: Ensembl
GUGCUUGCUUCAGCAGCACAUAUACUAAAAUUGAAAUGAUACAGAGACGAUUAGCAUGGCCCCUGAGCAAGGAUGACAUGCAAAUAAAAAUUUAAAAAUAAAA